AUGAAGGACGUGCUAAUCUGCGAUAAGCGCCGGUAAGGUGAUAUGAACCGUUAUAACCGGCGAUUUCCGAAUGGGGAAACCCAGUGUGAUUCGUCACACUAUCAUUAACUGAAUCCAUAGGUUAAUGAGGCGAACCGGGGGAACUGAAACAUCUAAGUACCCCGAGGAAAAGAAAUCAACCGAGAUUCCCCCAGUAGCGGCGAGCGAACGGGGAGGAGCCCAGAGCCUGAAUCAGCAUGUGUGUUAGUGGAAGCGUCUGGAAAGGCGCGCGAUACAGGGUGACAGCCCCGUACACAAAAGCGCAUGUGCUGUGAGCUCGAUGAGUAGGGCGGGACACGUGGUAUCCUGUCUGAAUAUGGGGGGACCAUCCUCCAAGGCUAAAUACUCCUGACUGACCGAUAGUGAACCAGUACCGUGAGGGAAAGGCGAAAAGAACCCCGGCGAGGGGAGUGAAAAAGAACCUGAAACCGUGUACGUACAAGCAGUGGGAGCACCCUUCGGGGUGUGACUGCG
Molecule: ribosomal RNA, 513 nt
Filed under: Salmonella enterica subsp. enterica serovar Typhimurium
Lineage: Bacteria; Pseudomonadati; Pseudomonadota; Gammaproteobacteria; Enterobacterales; Enterobacteriaceae
Description: partial 23S ribosomal RNA
Rfam family: Bacterial large subunit ribosomal RNA
Source: RNAcentral